GAAAUUGCACUACGAGUAAAGAUGCUCGUUACGCGCGGCAGGACGAAAAGACCCCGGGACCUUCACUAUAGCUUGGUAUUGGUGUUUGAUUCGGUUUGUGUAGGAUAGGUGGGAGACUUCGAUCAUAUGACGCUAGUUGUGUGUGAGUCGUUGGUGAAAUACCACUCUGAUCGGAUUGGAUGUCUUAACCUUGGCCCAUGAUCUGGGUUGGGGACAGUGCCUGGUGGGUAGUUUAACUGGGGCGGUUGCCUCCCAA
Molecule: ribosomal RNA, 256 nt
Filed under: Paraphysomonas bandaiensis
Lineage: Eukaryota; Chrysophyceae; Chromulinales; Paraphysomonadaceae
Description: partial Bacterial large subunit ribosomal RNA
Rfam family: Bacterial large subunit ribosomal RNA
Source: RNAcentral